This 459-nucleotide ribosomal RNA is filed under the name uncultured bacterium. RNAcentral describes it as "partial 16S ribosomal RNA". It matches the Rfam family "Bacterial small subunit ribosomal RNA", at positions 338 to 795 of the family's 1533-position model. The record is from RNAcentral.
CCUACGGGUGGCAGCAGUGAGGAAUAUUGGUCAAUGGCCGAGAGGCUGAACCAGCCAAGUCGCGUGAGGGAAGACGGCCCUACGGGUUGUAAACCUCUUUUGUCGGGGAGCAAAGCGAACCACGUGUGGUUCAUUGAGAGUACCCGAAGAAAAAGCAUCGGCUAACUCCGUGCCAGCAGCCGCGGUAAUACGGGGGAUGCGAGCGUUAUCCGGAUUUAUUGGGGUUAAAGGGUGCGCAGGCGGAGGUGCAAGUCAGCGGUAAAAGUUCGGGGCUCAACCCCGUACUGCCGUUGAAACUGCAUGCCUUGAGUGCGCGAGAGGUAUGCGGAAUGCGUGGUGUAGCGGUGAAAUGCAUAGAUAUCACGCAGAACUCCGAUUGCGAAGGCAGCAUACCGGCGCGCAACUGACGCUGAGGCACGAAAGCGUGGGUAUCGAACAGGAUUAGAUACCCUAGUAGUC